GACGAACGCUGGCGGCGUGCUUAACACAUGCAAGUCGAACGGAAAGGCCCUGCUUUUGUGGGGUGCUCGAGUGGCGAACGGGUGAGUAACACGUGAGUAACCUGCCCUUGACUUUGGGAUAACUUCAGGAAACUGGGGCUAAUACCGGAUAGGAGCUCCUGCUGCAUGGUGGGGGUUGGAAAGUUUCGGCGGUUGGGGAUGGACUCGCGGCUUAUCAGCUUGUUGGUGGGGUAGUGGCUUACCAAGGCUUUGACGGGUAGCCGGCCUGAGAGGGUGACCGGCCACAUUGGGACUGAGGUACGGCCCAGACUCCUACGGGAGGCAGGAGUGGGGAAUAUUGCGCAAUGGGCGGAAGCCUGAUGCAGCAACGCCGCGUGCGGGAUGACGGCCUUCGGGUUGUAAACCGCUUUCGCCUGUGACGAAGCGUGAGUGACGGUAAUGGGUAAAGAAGCACCGGCUAACUACGUG
Molecule: ribosomal RNA, 468 nt
Filed under: uncultured bacterium
Lineage: Bacteria
Description: partial 16S ribosomal RNA
Rfam family: Bacterial small subunit ribosomal RNA
Source: RNAcentral